AACUUUUAGCAAUGGAUCACUUGGCUCUCGCAUCGAUAAAGAACGCAGCGAAAUGCGAUAAGUAAUGUGAAUUGCAGAAUUCAGUGAAUCAUCGAAUCUUUGAACGCACCUUGCGCUCCUUGGUAUUCCGAGGAGCAUGCCUGUUUGAGUGUCAUUAAUAUAUAUAUAUAUCAACCCUCUUUUGUUGAGUGGUUUGGAUGUGAGGGUUUGCUGGAUUCUUUUCAGCUCCCUUGAAAUGCAUUAGCAGAACAACCUUGUUCAUUGGUGUGAUAACUAUCUACACUAUUGAAUGCAAUGGCCAGUUCAGCUUUCUAACCGUCCUUGGACAAUUUAUCAUUAAUGUGACCUCAAAUCAGGUAGGACUACCCGCUGAACUUAAGCAUAUCAAUAAGCGGAGGCU
RNAcentral lists this unclassified non-coding RNA (400 nucleotides) under uncultured Cortinarius. RNAcentral describes it as "sequence contains ITS2". The stretch from base 1 to 154 matches the Rfam family "5.8S ribosomal RNA". Lineage: Eukaryota; Fungi; Basidiomycota; Agaricomycetes; Agaricales; Cortinariaceae. The record is from RNAcentral.